This 239-nucleotide long non-coding RNA is filed under the name Hordeum vulgare. RNAcentral describes it as "long non-coding RNA (HVUL_LNC009496)". Lineage: Eukaryota; Viridiplantae; Streptophyta; Magnoliopsida; Poales; Poaceae. The record is from RNAcentral.
AGGAGGGAGUCAGGACUGGGCAAAUUUGUUCGAGGCCAAGGCAGCGACAUGGCGGACAUGCGAGAAGAAUCGGAGCUCAAGCGCUCGAACGACUUAGCCACAGGGUUUCUGGGAGUGAGGGGAGCUACAUCGAGCGCGAGAGUGAGCUCGGGCAUGGUUUAUAUGGACGGGCCGAGGUCCACCAUGAACAGAGCUCACAAACUGUGCUCGGGCUACUCCACAGGUGAGAGAGGAGGGCG